CCCCGAAUGAAACCCUGUGCCCACUGGCAGUCACUCCCCAGCCCUCCCCUUCCAGCCCCAGGUGACCUCGUCUUCCUUCUCUAUGAAUUUCCCUCGUCUGGACAUUUCACACAAGUGGAAUCAUGCAGUGUGUUGCUUUUUGUGACAGGUGUCUUUCACUUUGCCCGAUGAUUUGAGGGUUCAUUCAUUUUGUUUCGGUACUUCACUCCUUUUUUAUGGCCGAAUAAUGUUCCAAAGUGUGGCUAGACCACAUUGUGUUGAUUCAUUCAUCAGCAGGUGGGCAUUAGGGUUAUUUCCACCUUUUGGCUAUUGUGAUUAAUGCUGCUAUGAACCUUCUUAUACAUGUUUUGACCUUGGGCUGUUCCUAUACUGCCAAUCUUUUCUACUACUUUGUGAAAUUUCCACUUCUUUUAGUCCCAGUUGGUUGUCCUUUUCUGGAUAUUCCUUCUCUCUUUAUGGGUCUCACACCAGGAAUCACACCGAACGUUCUGCAGGUCUCCUGUCCCACUUUGCCAACUACUCCCAGGAACAUUCGGGAACCCACCAAGUCUUUUUCUGUAUCAGUUAUGUAACCCCAUGCACAAAAUCCCACCUCUGUAGCUUUGAAAGGUUUGAGGGCUUUCAAAACACUGAGCCACAGAGCUCCCUUUUGGCCACACAUCAGCAGAGUGUCACAAGACCGUGUUGUUUCAGGAGAGGUUGACACUAACAGCCUGAAUGGGCUCUGUGUGAUGGAAACCCACAGGUGGGAACCGAGGGCCCAUGACAGUGUUUGGGCGCGAGUACUCAGAGGCCGUCAGCGGCACAACUGCCAAGAUCUGAAGGUCACGCUGGUGCCGGUUGCCAUGCAUUCAUGGAGGCUGUCGUGGUUCAUUUGUGAAGCUGCCGUCAACAUGGGGAAAACCCACCCGGCGCCCCACGCGGUGGAAAAUGAGCCCCACGAAAGGCCGGGCUUCUUUUGACACACAACUAGUCAUGCAGCUUCGUUCUGUUAGAAAUGGAGAAAAGAGACCACUGGCCGGGGUACAGCUGUUUCUGUCUCUUCCUCAUUGUUGGUACCUUAUUCUGUGGGUUUUUUCACACGGUUGUCAGCUUUGGGAUGCAGAGGUCUGAUUUUAAGACUCUCUCUGCUGUAGAAGGCUAGGACCUCCCCCCACUCUGGACAUGACCUUGGCUACAACACGGCCAGGCCCCAUUUGUCUCAGUCCUCAAACCAGAUCUUUCAGAUUUCCGUUUCUAAUGUCUUUUCUUUUGAUGUGAAUUCUUUGACGAAAAGUAUUGUGUGAUCAGUUAGUCACUUCCUUUAUUGCAGUGACAGUAUUAUUUGCAGAGUGGGCACAAUGAUGUCAGUUCCCUCGACAGGAACAGGGGUUGGUCAGGACCCUUUGCCGAACACCAAACUGAAUAGACCUUCUUGCACAAGCAGUGCAUUGUGUUCCGCAAUAAAAGAGACGCUUUCUCCUGAGCGCAAACGUAACCUGUGCCUUGAUGGCCGUUUGGGGGGGUUUGCUGGAGAAAUCUGUGUCUGGGACCUGCUGGCUAUGUCCCGUCUCCCCACCUCAGGCUGAUUGGGUGGUGACGUUUGUGAAGGUUCCAGUUGUGCUGUGGGAUCCUGAAGGCAUCAGAACGGCUUUGCUUGUUUGCUCUGGUGUCUUAGGUUCAUUUGAGACUCGGAGCGUCUGGCUGUGCUGUGACCAAUAUGAGAUCAAAGCACAGGGGUAAACCGUUCGCUGAAGCCCACCUAAGUUGCACAUAAAGAGGCCUGAGGUGCAGAGGCGCUGCUGGGCAGCACGUGGAGGUCUGGGUGUGCAAGGAAUCCCUGAAAGAUAGGCGGUGUGCAGUUAACACUGACAGUGAACUUGGCCACAUCGAGCUUGAAAGAGAGACACAGCCCCAGGAGAUGGAGGGUGUAAAGGCAAAGACUUCCUGGCAGGUACGCCGAAGAAAGCAAACGGUGCUGAAACUGGUUUGUAAACCCAAGCAGCUCGGUGCUGGCUCCACAGGUCAGCAUGUCAGCUGGGGAGGCUUGGAAGGGAACGCUGGUCCGGCCGAGUGGCUCUUGAAUAGAAGCCUUUUCCCCGCCUCCUCAGCCUCCAGGGUUCAAAUUUCACUAAACCUGAUUGCAGGAAACCCCACCCUCGUGUUUACAUUGCACUGGCCUUUUUGGGUGGAACCAAAGUCCUUUUCUUAGCUACCAAGAUCUUCUACCUUCUGCAGUACCUGGAGAAGGGAGGCUGGGUCCCUGCGGGGGGACACAUGCCCCCAUCCCGGAAUGCUACGUUCUGGCGUUGGAGGCUUUCUUCAGGGUCCAACAGAUGUGGGCUGAACAAGCUGCAGGGCUGUCUGGAAGGAAGACACUUUUCCCGGGAAGCCCGCGGCUGCUAGACUCAUGGCUUCUGGUAGACUCAUGGCGUCUGGUAUUGGGACAUUUUGAUGGGCCUCACCUGAGAGCAGCUGUUCCUGGAUGCAUCCCUUCUUGCAAUCCUGCUCUCUCUUUCUGCCUCUGCUAACCCGUCAGAUGCUGUGAAAUGUGCCUGCCGCCCUCCGUUUCUUGAUCCUCUCCCUGUUCCCCAGGCUGGUUCAUCCCAGCAUGUAGUCGGAACUCUGCUGAGUAUUCCAUUUCAAGCUCCAUAAACAACCAACUAGCAGCCGUGGCAAGUGCUUAGUAAACUCGUGGGACUGUUCCUGGAGAGGAGUUUUCUGUUUUUCUCCGUUGAAGACUUGCAGGGAGGAUUCUGUUAGCUCUUUUGAAAUAAAAAGUUGCUUUUCAAGCAAACCUUUCACAAAAGUAAAAACAUAAGAUUCAUAGAGUCAGUAUAUAGAAGAAAGAAAGAUUUCAGCGAGCUUAACGAAGCCCUCAGGUUUGCUCUUUUGUUUGAAAUGGAUUUUUUGUGUUGGCAGCAGGGCCAGGGGACAGCUGAACUUAUUACAGAUCAGUUCUGCACCUUCUUGGUAGCCGAGUGGUUGGUGUUCAGAUGGCGGUGGAGUUGAGAUGCUGCCUUCCCUUUGGCUGAUUCUUCACACACCUGUGAGCACAUACCUGUGAGCACAGGUGGGCAUUGGUUAAUCUGCGUUCAGCCAGGAUGAGAAGGAAUGUUUUCAUUUUUUUUGUUGUUUAGGUCUGCCUCAUUUUCUUUGCUUACUUUUGAAAUAUUUUGGGGGUGUCUCUUUUCCUUCUUGUGAGAUAGCCCCCUUUCAAAAGUCGAGUGGGAGUGGGCAGGGAACUGGCACACGGUAGCAGAGCAGGGGCGGCUAGUCUGUGCUGCAGCUUCGCCCCUUAAAUGAGGCAAGAAUGUCCACUGGCUCUUUUCUUUCUUCUGGUUCUUUUCCAGAUGGGAACCUGCCCGGUGUGUCAUUCAGUGGAAGCGAUCAGAGCCGUAGUUAACGUUUGUUUGAUUUUUAACUAGGCCCCGGAUGCAGGGAAAUCAUUACCAGAAAACUCACAGGCCUCCUUUGGGAAGGGGCCCUGGGUUCUGGUUGGUGGGGCAGGGAUGGCGGGAAGGGACAGGACACAGAGCAAGUGGUCGAUCCUGCACUGGGACAGGCAAAGGCUCUUGUCCUGCAUCUGCAGUGGAAAAGCUGGGGGUCCUGGGCGGGUCACAUCUCUAUCUGGAGAUUGGGGGUCUUCAUUUGCAGAAUGAGGAUUCAUUCAAUUCCCCCAAACUCCCCUUGAGCUGGAAGCACAAAGUUAAAAUGUGUCAUUGAAAUCUACAAAAGGAUGCAAGGGGCGGAUGAAGUGAAUGCCUUCCAGACGUCUUCUGCUGGCCCCGCACUCACCCCAGCUUUGAUAGCACUCUGAGCUCCGAGAUGGAGCCGAGCUUCACAACCCCAAGCUUCCUUCACCCCAGGGGACCCACCUCCUUUCCCCUGGGAGCCCUUGGUGGUGGCAGUGGGACCCCAGCCCCAGCCGUGCCCAGGGAUCACAGAAGGGAGUUUGGCUAUAUCGCUUCUCUGAAAAUUACUUUCUGCGUCACUUUUCCAAAUCUGAAUUAAAAGGGGCACUCUACCAUCAAUUAAGUCAGGGUGUCCUUAAAGACUGACCAGAGUUUUGGGGGGCUUCAUACACCAAGGCUGGAGCUUGUGUCUCAUUUUCCAUGGGGGGUUUGGCAGUCAGUCAGUCGUGCAGUGACCCCCUCCCCCAAGCCCCCCAGAUAACUUUUGUCCCUGGUUGUGAUUCUGUUUUCAAUGCUCUCACCCUGCAGUUUUCACAUGGGGUCUCAGAAAACAAAAUACCAGCCCCGUAGGCAAGGUCGCCCUUCUCUAGAUGUGGUUUAGAGGCGGGCCAUGAGUAGGUGGGUGCACCCCGCCCAGCCCUGCAGCUGUGGGGACGAACCUGCUUGGGAAA
This is a long non-coding RNA of Balaenoptera musculus (blue whale), 4345 nucleotides long. RefSeq lists it as uncharacterized. The record is from RefSeq and is a predicted model, not a curated record. The transcript has 3 exons. Lineage: Eukaryota; Metazoa; Chordata; Mammalia; Artiodactyla; Balaenopteridae.